CCUCUUCUCUUUCCUUCCUUUUCCUUUUCCUUUUCUUUUUCUUUCUUAAAUCGAUCGACACGUUGGUUUGGUCGACGUACGACGCGAGUUCCACGACCCGAAACACGUCCACGACGACUUCCUAGUUCUUCUUCCUCCUCCUCCUCCAUCUCCCAUACCACACUCGAUAUUACCAGCAGGUCACGCGCGUACCCUGCGUGGAAAAAACUCCAGAGGAUGACCAACUCUCGCACGCUUCCUGAUCAGCUAGAAAGAAUUGAGUCGAAUUUGAAGACACGAGCUCGGAUCUGGCGUCGGGUUGUGGGUCGUUGGAGGCCAAUCUGCUACUUCAUGACCUCCGAGGUCACUUGUCGCAACCACCGUGAGCCUCCUCUUAUCUUCGUUUGACAGAGGUCAAGAUAGAGAGAUAGGCCGGCUCGACUUACCGGGACAGCUUACCGGCGCGACGGUGGUGAGGUACGUGCAGUAGCAAAGGUGGAGGGGCGGGGGCUAAAUUAGAAAAAGGAUCGAGACCCUUUAAUAUGCAUACAGACGUUUUAUCUUCGUAAUAUUUUUGUGGGGCACAAAAGUAUUUGAAUACGUAGAGAGACUUUUGGAGUU
Molecule: long non-coding RNA, 600 nt
Organism: Syzygium oleosum
Lineage: Eukaryota; Viridiplantae; Streptophyta; Magnoliopsida; Myrtales; Myrtaceae
Exons: 2
Source: RefSeq, a predicted model, not a curated record